GGCGUAAGGGCUCGCAGGCGGUUUCUUAAGUCUGAUGUGAAAGCCCCCGGCUCAACCGGGGAGGGGCAUUGGAAACUGGGGAACUUGAGUGCAGAAGAGGAUAGUGGAAUUCCACGUGUAGCGGUGAAAUGCGUAGAGAUGUGGAGGAACACCAGUGGCGAAGGCGACUCUCUGGUCUGUUACUGACGCUGAGGAGCGAAAGCGUGGGGAGCGAACAGGAUUAGAUACCCUGGUAGUCCACGCCGUAAACGAUGACUGCUAACCGUUGGGGGGUUUGAGACCCUUAUGGCUGCACUUAAGCCUUUAAUUGAUCGCCCGGGGAAGUCCGGCCCCAGGACUGAACUCCAAUGAAUUUGACGGGGGCCCCCCCAACCGUGGAACCUGGGGUUUUAUUUCAAACCACCCCAAAAACCCUAACAAGGCCUGGCCUGCCGAGGACUUUCCUAAAAUGGAUUGGUGCCCUCCGGAACUCUAACGCCGGGGGUGGCUGGGUGGCCUCCGCUCCUGGCCUGGGAAGGUGGGUUAAGUCCCGUAACGAGCGCCACCCUUGGCCCUAAUUACCAGCACGUUAUGGUGGGCACUCUAAGGAGACUGCCGGUGACAAACCGGAGGAAGGUGGGGAUGACGUCAAGUC
This 634-nucleotide ribosomal RNA is filed under the name Priestia megaterium. RNAcentral describes it as "bacterial SSU rRNA". It matches the Rfam family "Bacterial small subunit ribosomal RNA", at positions 557 to 1191 of the family's 1533-position model. Lineage: Bacteria; Bacillati; Bacillota; Bacilli; Caryophanales; Bacillaceae. The record is from RNAcentral.